GCACUAUUAAUUUAUGAUCAGGAUUUUUUAAUUAUCAAAAAAAUUUACUGCACCUUUAAUGGAACAUUGAAAUACUGUUUGCAACACACCUCUGAGGAACUGGCAUGAAAAGUCCCUAGGACCGUGUACAGUGCUCUCUGACCCUGUGUGGUGGUCUUGGAGACAGAGGGAGUCAAAAGAAAAGUCUAGAUGUGGCUCUGAAGUUGAAAGUCUAUGGGGUGCCUGACCAGCCCUGUUUGAUGUAGCUCACUGCUGCUGCACGCAUGUGAAGAUGUUUUUGUGUGAUGGCAGCUGGAGACUCUCUCUCCAAGAGAAAUCUGCACGACCCAGCCUGGCUGAGGAAACAGCGUUAUGAGGGUCUUGACCCAGAGCUGGAGAACUCUGUGGGAUUGAGAUGGUGACAGAUAAUAAGUACAGAUCUUCUAAGGUCAAUCUUCACUAAACAGCUUUUUUCCCUUAUACAGCCUAUACAGAUACUUUUUUUUUUUUUUUUUUUUUGCAUCAGUCACUUUCAUCCAAAAUAACUUAAACUUACUUGUUUUAAUCAAUAUGCUUUAUAUACAUUUUCAGUUCAUGCAUUUAUAUUUAUAAUAUAUUAAUAAUUUUAUAACAGUAAUUCUGCUAAAGUAAUUUCUGUAUAAAGAAACUACGCUGCAGUUUUACAAGUUUGAAAGCAGUGUGCAAGCUUCUGUGAAACAAUGUAAAUACGGUUCUUUUGUAACUAUGGAAACCAGGACACGCUCGGACUCGGAGAGGACUGAAAGACCGCGGACUGUUGCUGCUGCGGUCGGUGGUGGCGUUGGAGCCGGUGAAGGGAGUGAGGCAAAGGGGGUUUAUCGGCGCUCUGUUGGGAAAAUAACAGCCCCAGGGUAGACCGCGGCAAACAGGAAGGGUGUGGACAGGAUCCGAGCGCAGCUGCUGCCGCUGAGCAGCGUCUGUUCCCUCAGACUUUGAUGUGUGGGCACACCGCGCUCUGUGCCACGAGAUAAACACUCUGGGAGCGAGGAAUUGUUUGUGUUAUGCAUAGCUCCGUAAUGACAUGAAGCCUGUGAGAAAGUCAGCUGCCGCCGACUGCCCCGCGGGAAGCACGUGUGUAGACCGUCGACCCUGAGCUAAUUGAUGAGUGAUGUCACUGAUGAGACAUCGGUGGCUCCUUUAUAACCUAAAUAAUGUUAACGUAUUAUAUUGAACCUUGUUUCUUGCAUUGAUUUUUACAGAGAUCGGAAAAAUAUCUAAUCAAAAUAUAAUUAUAAUGAUGACCUAUUUUACUUGCUCUUUUGCAAUGUUGCUGUUUUUUUUUCCCUAGCUAAUAUCAGUUUGGAACGGAAGCUUUGAUUAAAAAAUGUAAAAAGGUAAUUGCAACUUUUUAUCUUACAAAUUAGAUCUUUUUCUCGCAAGUCUAAGAAAAUUUGAAAAUGCGACAGUCUCAGAAUUUUGAGAAAUAAACAGAAUUGCUACUGUAGAUAUGAACUGGCA
Cyprinus carpio (common carp) is the source of this 1476-nucleotide long non-coding RNA. The record is from Ensembl. Lineage: Eukaryota; Metazoa; Chordata; Actinopteri; Cypriniformes; Cyprinidae.